AUGUUUACCUGGCAGGGGAGUUACCAUGAUCACGAAGGUGGUUUUCCCAGGGUGAGGCUGACCCAUUGCACUCCGGAUGUGAUGACCCCAGUGAUUUCCCCAAAUGUGGGAAUCUUGACUGUUCAAUUUGUGGUAGUGGGGGACGCAUUCAGCUCUCCUCUG
Phyllostomus discolor (pale spear-nosed bat) is the source of this 162-nucleotide small nuclear RNA. RefSeq annotates it as U1 spliceosomal RNA. Lineage: Eukaryota; Metazoa; Chordata; Mammalia; Chiroptera; Phyllostomidae. The record is from RefSeq and is a predicted model, not a curated record. The transcript has a single exon.